GUCGCACCGUACACAGCCAGCCCAAAACUAUCACAAACACAAGCAGUCCUCAUCACACACUGACAGCACAAAAUGAUCACACACAGCUAGCCCAACGCUAACACACAGUUUCCAUCACAUGUACACAAUUCAAUAUAAAAAAAAUAUAUUCCUAUCACACACAGACAACCAAAUAAAUCAUAUACAGUCCACAUUACAGUCAUCC
Non-coding RNA from Pelobates cultripes (western spadefoot toad), 205 nucleotides. Lineage: Eukaryota; Metazoa; Chordata; Amphibia; Anura; Pelobatidae. The record is from the annotation of a GenBank genome assembly.